UUCUUGGCAGGCCAGUGGUUAAGACUCCUGCUUUCAAUGCAGGGGGUUCAGGUUUGAUUCCUGGUCAGGGAA
RNAcentral lists this transfer RNA (72 nucleotides) under Ovis aries (sheep). It matches the Rfam family "tRNA". From Rfam's summary of the family: Transfer RNA (tRNA) molecules are approximately 80 nucleotides in length. Their secondary structure includes four short double-helical elements and three loops (D, anti-codon, and T loops). Lineage: Eukaryota; Metazoa; Chordata; Mammalia; Artiodactyla; Bovidae. The record is from Rfam by way of RNAcentral.